Long non-coding RNA from Falco peregrinus (peregrine falcon), 981 nucleotides. RefSeq lists it as uncharacterized. The transcript has 3 exons. The record is from RefSeq and is a predicted model, not a curated record. Lineage: Eukaryota; Metazoa; Chordata; Aves; Falconiformes; Falconidae.
UUAUAUAUAUAAAAAAAGUUUCCCGUAAUCUUCAGAAAAUUCAGAUUCUUUAGGAAAACAAAUCCCCUAUUUUUGUAUACAGACACAGACCAUCUUAAAAUAUUUCACCAAAGCAAGUCAGUCUCAUUACUUCUGUUUAACCGAUAGACCCGUUUCUGUGGGAGGAUGCGGAGGAGAGAGGAAAUGAGGCUGCUUGGAAGGGUUUGCAGGUGUGAGGGUGAAGCUGGGCAGACGUCGGUUUCCAUUUCUCCUGACGCUAAGGCAGAGGAAGGACGGAGCGUGGGGUGAAGGGAGUUGUCCUCCUUUUCCUCACACCUUCUAUUUACACUUGCUUGUGGCAAAAGAGCACUUUUGCCGAGAGUAUCACUGUUGUGCAGAAGCAGCAGACCCCAUCCCAGCUUUUGCUUUUCCAGCCUAAUUCAAGUUGUUCACCCAAAGUCCCGUGGGACCACCUCCCCUGCAUACACAGUUAGCUCAUCAUGGGACAGCAGCUGUUGACCAAUAAAUAUGUAUUUAUCCUUUGCUUUUUGCAGAUGGAAGAGCUGAAAUACUCUGGUCUUUAGAUGAUAGAGCCUUGAAUGGUGUAGGAUGAGAUGCUGAGUAACGUGGAGGCAACAGGACAUGGGGAAAAACUUCGCUCAGAUCACACACGGUCUGGGAAGAGUUUUCAUGAUGAUUUUUAAAAGAGUGUAGCUGCCAACUAAAUUCAAGUUAAUGCUGAAGGAGCGUAAGGAGCAUCCUGGCAACACAACAGGGAGAAGCCUCCUGGGAUUCAGCUCGGCUGAGGUGGGAGGAUGUGGCAGCAACGGGCUCGCUCUGAGUGAAACACCUUCCCAGGCAGGAACGGGACCAAACAGGACGUGUUGGUGCAUCUGUCAAGAUUCCUGCUCUGGAAAAGAAGAUCAGAGCAAAUGGGGACUGAAGAGAACAAAAGCUGACCCAAACCUUUGACCUAAACUUAACAUAAAGCCAAAUGAAACC